CGCUCCUUCUGCGUGGAAAGUACAAUUUGUGCAUGUGUAAACUCCAGGUCUCCUAAAGGCAGAUUUUUCUUUUUUCCGUAAAAUUUCAUUCCCUUCCUUGCGUUCUUUUAACCUUGAAAGGUUUUGCAGUGGGUUGCUCGCUCUGAAAACGACUCUCUUUGCUCUCUAACGCACGUAAUGCAAACUGUUCUAGCAGCCCUGCGUUUUGUAAGUGGUGCGGCCCCUGACAAGGAGCUAUGCGAGGAGGCUGAUGUUUUCUGGAGGGAGUCGCAGAAGCCACCGCACCACGGCUUUGCGCUGCUCUUCAGGGGCAGCUCCAAGCGCGGCCCCAGCGGGCACCGGCACGGCCCUCCGGCGCCAGUCCCCCCAGGACGGACGUCCGCCUCUAGUUUUCAGCCUGGACUUUUAUAGCCAAUUCCCAACCCCGAAAGGCUGCUGCAAACAUCUGAGCACAAGAAGUAAGUCCUUGAUUUCAGCAUACCUUGUGUAUGAAGAAGAUGGAGAUCGUGUUUAUCAGAUUGCCAUAUAGCGUUCCUUCCACCUCUGCCUCCUUUUCAGGAGUGCAGAUUCCUACACAUGACCAGUCUUCAGUAGUGAACAAAAAUGGCAUCUAAAUCCCAAGUGACACUCUUAAGUACUUGGCAGCAGAAGGGCUCUUCUGAGGAAGAUUAAGUUAAUGGAAGCAUUUGGGUAACAUCUGCAUGACUCUUCAUCCUGGUAAGGCCAACUCACACUGCAGCAACACGUGAUGGAGGAUUUCUUCGAUUAUCACUUAAGAACAAAACUGGCUGAAGUUCCUUUUCAAGUGCUCAUCAGGCUGUGAUAUGUUUGUGUGAGUAUAUAUACUGCGUAAACAGGCACAGUUAUAAAAGCAGACCUGUAUGGACUUCUAAGAGUACUUAAUAAAAAUCAGAUUACUUGUUUAAUGAAAAGUAGA
Molecule: long non-coding RNA, 937 nt
Filed under: Struthio camelus australis
Lineage: Eukaryota; Metazoa; Chordata; Aves; Struthioniformes; Struthionidae
Description: lncRNA (ENSSCUG00000016686.1)
Source: RNAcentral